CCUACGGGCGGCAGCAGUGGGGAAUAUUGGACAAUGGGCGAAAGCCUGAUCCAGCCAUGCCGCGUGUGUGAAGAAGGCCUUCGGGUUGUAAAGCACUUUCAGUGGGGAAGAAAGCCUUGGGGCUAAUACCCUCGAGGAAGGACAUCACCCACAGAAGAAGCACCGGCUAACUCCGUGCCAGCAGCCGCGGUAAUACGGAGGGUGCGAGCGUUAAUCGGAAUUACUGGGCGUAAAGCGCGCGUAGGCGGUCUGAUAAGCCGGUUGGGAAAGCCCCGGGCUCAACCUGGGAACGGCAUCCGGAACUGUCAGGCUAGAGUGCAGGAGAGGAAGGUAGAAUUCCCGGUGUAGCGGUGAAAUGCGUAGAGAUCGGGAGGAAUACCAGUGGCGAAGGCGGCCUUCUGGACUGACACUGACGCUGAGGUGCGAAAGCGUGGGUAGCAAACAGGAUUAGAUACCCGAGUAGUC
Molecule: ribosomal RNA, 465 nt
Filed under: Vreelandella stevensii
Lineage: Bacteria; Pseudomonadati; Pseudomonadota; Gammaproteobacteria; Oceanospirillales; Halomonadaceae
Description: partial 16S ribosomal RNA
Rfam family: Bacterial small subunit ribosomal RNA
Source: RNAcentral